RNAcentral lists this long non-coding RNA (621 nucleotides) under Homo sapiens (human). RNAcentral describes it as "HSALNT0116976". Lineage: Eukaryota; Metazoa; Chordata; Mammalia; Primates; Hominidae. The record is from RNAcentral.
GGCCAGCCUGAGAAGCUAAAUCGCCAUCUCCCCACCUCAAGUUCUCAGACAUCCGUCAGUGACGCCCAAAGUUAACACGUGGUCUCCAACUGAGGGGCUCUGCAGGGGCAGGUUCUCCGGGCAAGCACAUUCGGUCACCUGCAGAGCUGCACGUAGACCAACCAUGGAGAGGCUGGCUACACCAUGUGGGGAGGGAUGGGGAGGGCUGGCACGAGUGACUUUUCAUAGUUGCCCUGUAGCUCUCUAACAGGCAGCCAGGGUGAAGGCAAGUGCAGAGGGAGGCUCUCCUUGUGGUGGCCGGAGACCACGCAGGACACCUGGCAAGCACGUUCACGUCAGGCACAGAAUCCGCACGUGGUCCUCCCGUCUCCACAGGUGGGCUCCCUGUACCCUUCCUGGUCUCCACCCAUCAUCCGGUUUUCUCCACAGCGCUUCCCCUUCAGUAUGUUAAGGUUGAAAAGGGGUGCGAAGUAAAGAAGUCACCACACCACGUGAUCCAGCUUGAGUCUUGCUCUGCUGCAAUUUUUAUCCUGUGUCUGGGGUGGCAAGUUGGUCCUGCCCCGCUUGCGGAGAACUUUGCAGGCACACAGCACCAGGGUCACUUGAGCCACUGGGAGCUUC